RNAcentral lists this transfer RNA (85 nucleotides) under Juniperus communis var. saxatilis. Its description in RNAcentral is "tRNA-Leu". It matches the Rfam family "tRNA". From Rfam's summary of the family: Transfer RNA (tRNA) molecules are approximately 80 nucleotides in length. Their secondary structure includes four short double-helical elements and three loops (D, anti-codon, and T loops). Lineage: Eukaryota; Viridiplantae; Streptophyta; Pinopsida; Cupressales; Cupressaceae. The record is from RNAcentral.
GGGGAUAUGGCGGAAUCGGUAGACGCUACGGACUUCAAAUCCGUUGGUUUUAUAGAUCGUGAGGGUUCGAGUCCCUCUAUCCCCA